RNAcentral lists this ribosomal RNA (2891 nucleotides) under Pseudomonas syringae pv. actinidiae. RNAcentral's name for it is "23S ribosomal RNA". It matches the Rfam family "Bacterial large subunit ribosomal RNA". Lineage: Bacteria; Pseudomonadati; Pseudomonadota; Gammaproteobacteria; Pseudomonadales; Pseudomonadaceae. The record is from RNAcentral.
GGUCAAGUGAAGAAGCGCAUACGGUGGAUGCCUUGGCAGUCAGAGGCGAUGAAAGACGUGGUAGCCUGCGAAAAGCUUCGGGGAGUCGGCAAACAGACUGUGAUCCGGAGAUGUCUGAAUGGGGGAACCCAGCCAUCACAAGAUGGUUAUCUUACACUGAAUACAUAGGUGUAAGAGGCGAACCAGGGGAACUGAAACAUCUAAGUACCCUGAGGAAAAGAAAUCAACCGAGAUUCCCUUAGUAGUGGCGAGCGAACGGGGACCAGCCCUUAAGUUGUAUUGAGAUUAGCGGAACGCUCUGGAAAGUGCGGCCAUAGUGGGUGAUAGCCCUGUACGCGAAAAUCCCUUUGCAAUGAAAUCGAGUAGGACGGGGCACGAGAAACCUUGUCUGAAUAUGGGGGGACCAUCCUCCAAGGCUAAAUACUACUGACUGACCGAUAGUGAACCAGUACCGUGAGGGAAAGGCGAAAAGAACCGCGGAGAGCGGAGUGAAAUAGAUCCUGAAACCGUAUGCGUACAAGCAGUGGGAGCCCACUUUGUUGGGUGACUGCGUACCUUUUGUAUAAUGGGUCAGCGACUUAUUUUCAGUGGCGAGCUUAACCGAAUAGGGAGGCGUAGCGAAAGCGAGUCUUAAUAGGGCGUCUAGUCGCUGGGAAUAGACCCGAAACCGGGCGAUCUAUCCAUGGGCAGGUUGAAGGUUGGGUAACACUAACUGGAGGACCGAACCGACUACCGUUGAAAAGUUAGCGGAUGACCUGUGGAUCGGAGUGAAAGGCUAAUCAAGCUCGGAGAUAGCUGGUUCUCCUCGAAAGCUAUUUAGGUAGCGCCUCAUGUAUCACUGUAGGGGUAGAGCACUGUUUCGGCUAGGGGGUCAUCCCGACUUACCAAACCGAUGCAAACUCCGAAUACCUACAAGUGCCGAGCAUGGGAGACACACGGCGGGUGCUAACGUCCGUCGUGAAAAGGGAAACAACCCAGACCGUCAGCUAAGGUCCCAAAGUCAUGGUUAAGUGGGAAACGAUGUGGGAAGGCUUAGACAGCUAGGAGGUUGGCUUAGAAGCAGCCACCCUUUAAAGAAAGCGUAAUAGCUCACUAGUCGAGUCGGCCUGCGCGGAAGAUGUAACGGGGCUCAAACCAUGCACCGAAGCUACGGGUAUCACCUUUGGUGAUGCGGUAGAGGAGCGUUCUGUAAGCCUGUGAAGGUGAGUUGAGAAGCUUGCUGGAGGUAUCAGAAGUGCGAAUGCUGACAUGAGUAACGACAAUGGGUGUGAAAAACACCCACGCCGAAAGACCAAGGUUUCCUGCGCAACGUUAAUCGACGCAGGGUUAGUCGGUCCCUAAGGCGAGGCUGAAAAGCGUAGUCGAUGGAAAACAGGUUAAUAUUCCUGUACUUCUGGUUAUUGCGAUGGAGGGACGGAGAAGGCUAGGCCAGCCUGGCGUUGGUAGUCCAGGUUUAAGGUGGUAGGCUGAGAUCUUAGGUAAAUCCGGGAUCUUAAGGCCGAGAGCUGAUGACGAGUGUUCUUUUAGAACAUGAAGUGGUUGAUGCCAUGCUUCCAAGAAAAGCUUCUAAGCUUCAGGUAACCAGGAACCGUACCCCAAACCGACACAGGUGGUUGGGUAGAGAAUACCAAGGCGCUUGAGAGAACUCGGGUGAAGGAACUAGGCAAAAUGGCACCGUAACUUCGGGAGAAGGUGCGCCGGUGAGGGUGAAGCAUUUACUGCGUAAGCCCACGCCGGUCGAAGAUACCAGGCCGCUGCGACUGUUUAUUAAAAACACAGCACUCUGCAAACACGAAAGUGGACGUAUAGGGUGUGACGCCUGCCCGGUGCCGGAAGGUUAAUUGAUGGGGUUAGCGCAAGCGAAGCUCUUGAUCGAAGCCCCGGUAAACGGCGGCCGUAACUAUAACGGUCCUAAGGUAGCGAAAUUCCUUGUCGGGUAAGUUCCGACCUGCACGAAUGGCGUAACGAUGGCGGCGCUGUCUCCACCCGAGACUCAGUGAAAUUGAAAUCGCUGUGAAGAUGCAGUGUAUCCGCGGCUAGACGGAAAGACCCCGUGAACCUUUACUAUAGCUUUGCACUGGACUUUGAAUUUGCUUGUGUAGGAUAGGUGGGAGGCUUUGAAGCGUGGACGCCAGUCUGCGUGGAGCCAACCUUGAAAUACCACCCUGGCAACUUUGAGGUUCUAACUCAGGUCCGUUAUCCGGAUCGAGGACAGUGUAUGGUGGGUAGUUUGACUGGGGCGGUCUCCUCCUAAAGAGUAACGGAGGAGUACGAAGGUGCGCUCAGACCGGUCGGAAAUCGGUCGUAGAGUAUAAAGGCAAAAGCGCGCUUGACUGCGAGACAGACACGUCGAGCAGGUACGAAAGUAGGUCUUAGUGAUCCGGUGGUUCUGUAUGGAAGGGCCAUCGCUCAACGGAUAAAAGGUACUCCGGGGAUAACAGGCUGAUACCGCCCAAGAGUUCAUAUCGACGGCGGUGUUUGGCACCUCGAUGUCGGCUCAUCACAUCCUGGGGCUGAAGCCGGUCCCAAGGGUAUGGCUGUUCGCCAUUUAAAGUGGUACGCGAGCUGGGUUUAGAACGUCGUGAGACAGUUCGGUCCCUAUCUGCCGUGGACGUUUGAGAUUUGAGAGGGGCUGCUCCUAGUACGAGAGGACCGGAGUGGACGAACCUCUGGUGUUCCGGUUGUCACGCCAGUGGCAUUGCCGGGUAGCUAUGUUCGGAAAAGAUAACCGCUGAAAGCAUCUAAGCGGGAAACUUGCCUCAAGAUGAGAUCUCACUGGAACCUAGAGUUCCCUGAAGGGCCGUCGAAGACUACGACGUUGAUAGGUUGGGUGUGUAAGCGCUGUGAGGCGUUGAGCUAACCAAUACUAAUUGCCCGUGAGGCUUGACCAU